This 269-nucleotide ribosomal RNA is filed under the name uncultured archaeon. RNAcentral describes it as "partial 16S ribosomal RNA". It matches the Rfam family "Archaeal small subunit ribosomal RNA", at positions 477 to 746 of the family's 1478-position model. The record is from RNAcentral.
CAGCUCUCCGAGUGGUAGGGAUGAUUAUUGGGCUUAAAGCGUCCGUAGCCGGCUUAGCAAGUCUCCUGUUAAAUUCAGCGACCUAAUCGUUGAGCCGCGGGAGAUACUACUAGGCUAGGAGGCGGGAGAGGUCGACGGUACUUCUGGGGUAGGGGUGAAAUCCUAUAAUCCCAGGAGGACCACCAGUGGCGAAGGCUGUCGACUAGAACGCGCUCGACGGUGAGGGACGAAAGCUGGGGGAGCGAACCGGAUUAGAGACCCGAGUAGCC